Molecule: ribosomal RNA, 486 nt
Filed under: Bacillus sp. (in: firmicutes)
Lineage: Bacteria; Bacillati; Bacillota; Bacilli; Caryophanales; Bacillaceae
Description: bacterial SSU rRNA
Rfam family: Bacterial small subunit ribosomal RNA
Source: RNAcentral
UCGAUGGGAGCUUGCUCCCUGAGAUUAGCGGCGGACGGGUGAGUAACACGUGGGCAACCUGCCUAUAAGACUGGGAUAACUUCGGGAAACCGGAGCUAAUACCGGAUACGUUCUUUUCUCGCAUGAGAGAAGAUGGAAAGACGGUUUUGCUGUCACUUAUAGAUGGGCCCGCGGCGCAUUAGCUAGUUGGUGAGGUAAUGGCUCACCAAGGCGACGAUGCGUAGCCGACCUGAGAGGGUGAUCGGCCACACUGGGACUGAGACACGGCCCAGACUCCUACGGGAGGCAGCAGUAGGGAAUCUUCCGCAAUGGACGAAAGUCUGACGGARCAACGCCGCGUGAACGAAGAAGGCCUUCGGGUCGUAAAGUUCUGUUGUUAGGGAAGAACAAGUACCAGAGUAACUGCUGGUACCUUGACGGUACCUAACCAGAAAGCCACGGCUAACUACGUGCCAGCAGCCGCGGUAAUACGUAGGUGGCAAGCGU